UGGUGGAGUGAUUUGUCUGGUUAAUUCCGAUAACGAACGAGACCUCAGCCUGCUAACUAGUUUGCUGCUUAAUUUUCGAGCGCAAUACUUCUUAGAGGGACAAUUCGUGUUUAAUUGAAAUGAAGUGAGCUCAUAACA
Molecule: ribosomal RNA, 138 nt
Filed under: uncultured eukaryote
Lineage: Eukaryota
Description: partial 18S ribosomal RNA
Rfam family: Eukaryotic small subunit ribosomal RNA
Source: RNAcentral